RNAcentral lists this ribosomal RNA (208 nucleotides) under uncultured Eubacteriales bacterium. RNAcentral's name for it is "uncultured Clostridiales bacterium partial 16S ribosomal RNA". It matches the Rfam family "Bacterial small subunit ribosomal RNA", at positions 568 to 775 of the family's 1533-position model. Lineage: Bacteria; Bacillati; Bacillota; Clostridia; Eubacteriales. The record is from RNAcentral.
UGCGUAGGCGGCAUGGCAAGUCAGAUGUGAAAUCCCCGGGCUUAACUCGGGUGGUGCAUUUGAAACUGCCAGGCUUGAGUGCAGGAGAGGAAAGCGGAAUUCCUAGUGUAGCGGUGAAAUGCGUAGAUAUUAGGAGGAACACCAGUGGCGAAGGCGGCUUUCUGGACUGUAACUGACGCUGAGGCACGAAAGCGUGGGGAGCAAACAG